GAAGUGUUGUCUGUAUAAAAGGAACAGCACAGGUCGUGCGUGCCAAGGUUGACCGAAGCUCUGCACCCUACACGGCCUGUGAACAUCCAGCAUGCAUUGGAUACACUCCUCCUCAGGACUUCUCCCUCUGGACCGUAUGCUCAUGGUGACCCUGGUGAGCACCUGCUGUCUCCUGUUCUCCGAGGCCACGUCAGAUGUUACAUCUCCUAAAAUCCUGAGACCGAAGUCACGGAAGAUUAAAGCUUCUCUGGGUGAACCGCUGGUGAUUCCCUGCAAGGCAGACCCGGGGUUUACCGAUGACCUCACUCUCAUCUACUGGCUGGUGAACAGGAGCUUCGUAGAGCACGCAUAUCCAGACGGCAGGAUCAGGGCGGGCCCAGAGGAAACAAAGACGAGAGGCAGCAGAACAUUCAUGCGAAGGGACCUGGUUUUCCAGCAGAUCGCCAGGGAGGAUUUUGAGGCCACCUACAUGUGUGUGGUGAGCAACGCAGCUGGGAUUGAUAUAAGGGAACUGCGGCUGAAAAGAGUGAACCAAACAUAUAUCUACGGAAGGAAAUGCAAACAUGCUGGAGCGAAAAUAAGAAAAAGAUCGGUUGGUGGAAGACACCAGCAAACCUUCUUGAAAAUAGCUACACCUUCCUGAGCGCGUGAUAUUAAUUACGCUGAUGGACUCAACCCGACUCUCCCGGAACGCCCAGAGGAAGCUCGAGCGAGCGCCACGCGCUACCUUUGCAAUUCUAAUGAGACGCCGUACAUCAGCCCUGUGACGGGUGUACAUUUCAUUCGCUGUUUAAAUCUGCUGAUAAUAUACAAUAAUAGAGAAGACGUGUGCUGGCCGUGGCGGCUGCCCGGCGAAUGUACAUUCAUUGUCCUUUUAAAAUAUACAAUGUCUUUUGAAGUAGAUGGGAAAAACACAUGCUUGAUUAAAAAAAUAUAUACAUAUUGCCUCUUUGUGGUUAAAUGAGCUUACUGUCUGGUAUGACUGAAGCUUCUACAUCCUGAAGAACAACUGCCACACAUUACACUGUUGCUGGUGCACACCGUGGAACUUUUGGAAUGCCGUUUUUGCAGUAAAUCAAGGGGAGGGUAAUAUGUAUUUCCAUGAUUUCCUCAUCUAUCAUCUUAGCUUGUGUUUAAGUGCUCCAGUCCAAGGAUUUCUCCGGUUAUUAUUCUUGAGCCUGAUGGUAAUGAUUACAAAUGAUAUCUACUCCUCUGUUUGGUAUGGUAUCUAUUAAUAGCCAUAGAAUUAUUAGACUGCAAUGGUCUGCUCAGGGGUUUUGUUAAUAAUUAAUCUUGACAAAUAUAUUUUUUC
Molecule: long non-coding RNA, 1312 nt
Organism: Anguilla rostrata (American eel)
Lineage: Eukaryota; Metazoa; Chordata; Actinopteri; Anguilliformes; Anguillidae
Exons: 8
Source: RefSeq, a predicted model, not a curated record